AAUCAACGCUGGCGGCGUGCCUACCACAUGCAAGUCGAGCGAGAAAGGGGACUUCGGUCCCUGAGUAGAGCGGCGGACGGGUGAGUAACACGUGGGUAAUCUACCCUCGGGUGGGGAAUAACUCAGGGAAACCUGGGCUAAUUCCGCAUGAUAUUUCCGAUACAUACGUGUUGGAAAUCAAAGCUGGGGACCCUUCGGGGCCUGGCGCCUGGGGAGGAGCCCGCGGCCAAUUAGCUUGAUGGUGAGGUAAUGGCUCACCAUGGCUACGAUUGGUAGCCGGCCUGAGAGGGCGGACGGUCACACUGGGACUGAGACACGGCCCAGACUCCUACGGGAGGCAGCAGUGGGGAAUUUUUGUCAAUGGGGGAAACCCUGAACAAGCAACGCCGCGUGAAGGACGAAGACCUUCGGGUUGUAAACUUCUGUCGGAGGGGACGAAGGCAGUUAUGGUUAAUACCCAUGAUUGUUGACGGUACCCUACGAGGAAGCCCCGGCUAACUCCGUG
Molecule: ribosomal RNA, 505 nt
Filed under: uncultured bacterium
Lineage: Bacteria
Description: bacterial SSU rRNA
Rfam family: Bacterial small subunit ribosomal RNA
Source: RNAcentral